AUACGUUGAUGUCUGGUUGAGUCUUUCCCAUUCGUCUGUUGGCAUCUGGUCGUGGUUUCUGUUCCCAUUCAUCAUCUUUCGAUGUCUGGUCGUGGUUUCUUUCUCCCAUUCAUCCGUUGAUGUCUGGUUGAGUCUUUCCCAUUCGUCCGUUGGCGACUGGUCGUGGUUUCUUUCUCCCAUUCAUCCGUUGAUGUCUGGUUGAGUCUUUCCCCUUCGUCCGUUGGCGUCUGGUCCUGGUUUCUCUUCGCAUUCAUCAUAUUUCGAUGUUUG
RNAcentral lists this long non-coding RNA (270 nucleotides) under Lathyrus oleraceus (garden pea). RNAcentral describes it as "Pisum sativum (pea) long non-coding RNA (PSAT_LNC005492)". Lineage: Eukaryota; Viridiplantae; Streptophyta; Magnoliopsida; Fabales; Fabaceae. The record is from RNAcentral.